UCGAUUGACUGAUUGAUCGAUCCGUCAUAAUCUUCCUGUGUUUGGAAUUCGAAAGUAGCAACA
Molecule: transfer RNA, 63 nt
Filed under: Pseudo-nitzschia fraudulenta
Lineage: Eukaryota; Bacillariophyta; Bacillariophyceae; Bacillariales; Bacillariaceae
Source: RNAcentral